RNAcentral lists this ribosomal RNA (440 nucleotides) under uncultured bacterium. Its description in RNAcentral is "partial 16S ribosomal RNA". It matches the Rfam family "Bacterial small subunit ribosomal RNA", at positions 338 to 795 of the family's 1533-position model. The record is from RNAcentral.
CCUACGGGUGGCAGCAGUGGGGAAUAUUGCACAAUGGGGGAAACUCUGACGCAGCGACGCCGCGUGAGUGAAGAAGUAUUUCGGUACGUAAAGCUCUGUUAGUAGGGAAGAACAAGAAGGUUACUGACUAAGAAGCCCCUGCCAACAACGUGCCAGCAGCCGCGGUCAUACGUAGGGCGCAAGCGUUCUCCGGAUUUACUGGGUGUAAAGGGAGCGUAGACGGCUGGGCAAGUCUGGAGCGAAAGGCGGGUGCUCAACCGCCGGUCUGCUCUGGAAACUGACAGGCUGGAGUGCAGGAGAGGUGAGUGGAAUUCCAAGUGUAGCGGUGAAAUGCGUAGAUAUAAGGAGGAACACCAGUGGCGAAGGCGGCUUACUGGACUGUAACUGACGUUGAGGCUCGAAAGCGUGGGGAGCAAACAGGAUUAGAUACCCUAGUAGUC